This 95-nucleotide microRNA precursor is filed under the name Canis lupus dingo (dingo). Its description in RNAcentral is "mir-8834 microRNA precursor family". It matches the Rfam family "mir-8834 microRNA precursor family". The record is from Rfam by way of RNAcentral. Lineage: Eukaryota; Metazoa; Chordata; Mammalia; Carnivora; Canidae.
AGGAGGAACAGCCCCAGUGGCAGGGCCAGCUCUGGAAACCUGGAUUCAGCUCCGGCAGGAACUCCGUCUGCAGGGCCUGGAGGCUCUGGGGCGGG